AUACGGAGGGUGCAAGCGUUGUUCGGAAUUACUGGGCGUAAAGCGCGCGUAGGCGGUCUGUUAUGUCAGAUGUGAAAGUCCUCGGCUCAACCGGGGAAGUGCAUUUGAAACUGGCAGACUUGAGUACUGGAGGGGGUGGUGGAAUUCCCGGUGUAGAGGUGAAAUUCGUAGAUAUCGGGAGGAAUACCGGUGGCGAAGGCGACCACCUGGCCAGAUACCGACGCUGAGGUGCGAAAGCGUGGGGAGCAAACAGGAUUAGAAACCCCAGUAGUCC
Molecule: ribosomal RNA, 274 nt
Filed under: uncultured bacterium
Lineage: Bacteria
Description: partial 16S ribosomal RNA
Rfam family: Bacterial small subunit ribosomal RNA
Source: RNAcentral